UCACCUUCAUACUUUACGAAUAAGUAUCUAGAUUAGAUCUAUUUAAUUUAAAUCUAUCUUCCAUAUCUACCAAUAUGAUAUACUAGUAUUUCUCUGAGUGCACCUCGGAGCUCAGAGACAGCAGUGGAGGCCUAUUGUUUGGCCAGUCUUGGCCAUGUUCGUUAAGUGGGUGCAGCAGGCGAAGGACUCGCAGGACUCGUAGCACAGUAAUUACAAGCAGACGCAGGCCCAUCUUCCAAUCGUGGUUUCCCCCAGCAGGAUCUGUCUGUGGCAAGGACAUGGUUAGUACUAUCCUGUCCUGCGCUGUCCGUCGGAGGAGUAAAUAAAACUGUGCAGACAAUUAAGUUUGUUUUGCCUGGGCAUAUUCUUUUCACC
RNAcentral lists this long non-coding RNA (375 nucleotides) under Drosophila melanogaster (fruit fly). RNAcentral's name for it is "long non-coding RNA:CR44750 (Dmel_CR44750)". Lineage: Eukaryota; Metazoa; Arthropoda; Insecta; Diptera; Drosophilidae. The record is from RNAcentral.